UUGACGGGGAGCACCACAACAGGUGGAGCCUGCGGUUUAAUCGGACUCAACGCCGGGAAACUCACCAGAUAAGACAGCUGAAUGAUAGUCGGGCUGAAGACUCUACUUGACUAGCUGAGAGGUGGUGCAUGGCCGUCGUCAGUUCGUACUGUGAAGCAUCCUGUUAAGUCAGGCAACGAGCGAGACCCACGCCCACAGUUGCCGGCGUACUCUCUGGAGUGACGGGUACACUGUGGGACCGCCGCUGCUAAAGCGGAGGAAGGAAUGGGCAACGGUAGGUCAGUAUGCCCCGAAUAUCCCGGGCUACACGCGAGCUACAAUGGUUGGUACAAUGGGUAUCUACCCCGAAAGGGGACGGGAAUCUCCUAAAACCAAUCUUAGUUCGGAUUGAGGGCUGCAACUCGCCCUCAUGAAGCUGGAAUCCGUAGUAAUCGCGUUUCAACAGAACGCGGUGAAUACGUCCCUGCUCCUU
RNAcentral lists this ribosomal RNA (472 nucleotides) under uncultured Methanolinea sp. RNAcentral describes it as "bacterial SSU rRNA". It matches the Rfam family "Archaeal small subunit ribosomal RNA", at positions 871 to 1337 of the family's 1478-position model. Lineage: Archaea; Methanobacteriati; Methanobacteriota; Methanomicrobia; Methanomicrobiales; Methanoregulaceae. The record is from RNAcentral.